CGAGUCGGCCGGGCGGUCGCGUCGGGGGAAACCCCGCCGAGGAAAGUCCGGGCUCCACAGGACACGGUGGUGGCUAACGGCCACCCGGGGUGACCCGCGGGACAGUGCCACAGAAAACAAACCGCCCGAAAGGGUAAGGGUGAAAAGGCGGGGUAAGAGCCCACCGCGCUGCGAGUGAUCGCAGCGGCACGGUAAACCCCACCGGGAGCAAGACCAAGCAGCGUCCGUUGAGGUUGUCCGCCGAGGACGCGGGUAGGUUGCUCGAGGGCCUCAGCAAUGGGGCUCCUAGAUGGAUGAUCGCCAGCCGCUCGCGGCGACAGAACCCGGCUUACAGGCCGGCUCGUUCC
This 347-nucleotide RNase P RNA is filed under the name Actinomycetaceae bacterium. RNAcentral describes it as "RNase P RNA component class A". It matches the Rfam family "Bacterial RNase P class A". Rfam says of the family: Ribonuclease P (RNase P) is a ubiquitous endoribonuclease, found in archaea, bacteria and eukarya as well as chloroplasts and mitochondria. Its best characterised activity is the generation of mature 5'-ends of tRNAs by cleaving the 5'-leader elements of precursor-tRNAs. The record is from RNAcentral. Lineage: Bacteria; Bacillati; Actinomycetota; Actinomycetes; Actinomycetales; Actinomycetaceae.